Long non-coding RNA from Caretta caretta (loggerhead turtle), 1241 nucleotides. RefSeq lists it as uncharacterized. The record is from RefSeq and is a predicted model, not a curated record. NCBI's taxonomy places the organism in Eukaryota, Metazoa, Chordata, Testudines, Cheloniidae.
CUCAGCCCUCUGGCCUGUCUCGGAUUCCCUCGAGGCAAGGCCUUGGCUGCCUUGAGACCCCUCUGGUUCACAGUCCUACUCGAGCCCACGGAGCAGAGUUUUGGCUACUCUGUCUGGCAGCAUUGCUUCUUCAAGAGUCAAUUAAGGAAUCUCAACCAACAGCGUUGGCAUAUAUUACUGGAUGCGCUUCUUGUGCCUUUCCAUUGGCUAUAUCGGAAAGGAUGAGAGUGCACUGGCAUAUGGUACAUGUAUGCACUUCCACAUUUCAGAUGGGAGUAGGAAUUUAGGAGUUCUCAUAGCUCAACCUGUCAUUAACUUAAAAGGACCAGCUUAGUUUGAUGUUUACACUCCUCCUGGGAAACAGCUGUUGUUAGUAUGUUAUUCACACAAGAAGUAACCCACGGCUCAUUCCAAUCAGGGAGUUGAUCCCACAUCCUUGUGGCAUGUGCAUGUGCUCUAGCUGGAGCACCAUGGUAACCCAUGGGGACAUGUUGAAAUGUGAACGGUUUGUUCUGGAACGUAAAAGCAAACCAAGACGGACUCUCAGGGGUUAAUGGAAUAGCAAGGACACAGCUAGCAAUAUCCAAUACAGAGAACCAUUUAGCAGGUGAAGCUAUUCCAGCCAAUACAGCUGGAAAAUUAGCUACUAUUGGUGCCAUCGGGACUGUAGCCGCAUUGAUUUUCCUACAAUUAAUCGUGAGGCGCCACCUUCCGUCCGCUUUCUGCACAGGCUGGAUCGGAGAAUUGUUUGGACUUUGGCACUUCACCACCACUUUUUGUUUUUUUUAAAUCCUGCAGCAAUUGUUUUCUAUGCAGAACAGCUUCUGCAGGGUAGGAAUAUUGAGGAACUGGUUUUACAAAUGUUCCUACUAUUUUCACUGCUGCUUGUAUGCCCCCACAUUCGGAUUUUUUUUUUUUUUUUUUUGGCCCACACCAUAGGGAACUCCCGGGUCCAUUUAUUAUCUGGUAACACCACAGCUGCUAUGGCUUUACAAGCUUCUUUCCUUAAUGCUCCUGGCAUUACCUGCUCACUUACAAUCCCUGUCCCCCUUUUCCACAGCCGACUUUCUGCCAGAUCAGUUAUCCAUUUUUUCUGCUGUACCACAUCUGCACCUAAGACAGCAUUUUCAGUCAUGCUGUUCCAGACCACUGUGUCUGUCCAAAACUUACUGCGUCCUGUCACCCGUGACAGAUUUUUUUAAAUAAAAUUCCUUUUACUCCUUUGUCUUGAAAGCCAAAUA